This 433-nucleotide ribosomal RNA is filed under the name uncultured bacterium. Its description in RNAcentral is "partial 16S ribosomal RNA". It matches the Rfam family "Bacterial small subunit ribosomal RNA", at positions 29 to 507 of the family's 1533-position model. The record is from RNAcentral.
AACGAACGCUGGCGGCAUGCCUAACACAUGCAAGUCGAACGAGACCUUCGGGUCUAGUGGCGCACGGGUGCGUAACGCGUGGGAACCUGCCCUUAGGUUCGGAAUAACUCCCCGAAAGGGGUGCUAAUACCGGAUAAUGUCUUCGGACCAAAGAUUUAUCGCCUUUGGAUGGGCCCGCGUUGGAUUAGCUAGUUGGUAGGGUAAAAGCCUACCAAGGCGACGAUCCAUAGCUGGUCUGAGAGGAUGAUCAGCCACACUGGGACUGAGACACGGCCCAGACUCCUACGGGAGGCAGCAGUGGGGAAUAUUGGAAAAUGGGCGAAAGCCUGAUCCAGCAAUGCCGCGUGAGUGAUGAAGGCCUUAGGGUUGUAAAGCUCUUUUACCCGGGAUGAUACUGACAGUACCGGGAGAAUAAGCUCCGGCUAACUCCGUG